This 353-nucleotide unclassified non-coding RNA is filed under the name soil metagenome. Its description in RNAcentral is "partial contains 5.8S ribosomal RNA, internal transcribed spacer 2, and large subunit ribosomal RNA". The stretch from base 1 to 120 matches the Rfam family "5.8S ribosomal RNA", at positions 35 to 154 of the family's 154-position model. The record is from RNAcentral.
GAUGAAGAACGCAGCGAAACGCGAUAAGUAAUGUGAAUUGCAGAAUUCAGUGAAUCAUCGAAUCUUUGAACGCACAUUGCGCCCGCCAGUAUUCUGGCGGGCAUGCCUGUUCGAGCGUCAUUACAACCCUCAGGCCCCCGGGCCUGGCGUUGGGGAUCGGCGGAAGCCCCCUGCGGGCACAACGCCGUCCCCCAAAUACAGUGGCGGUCCCGCCGCAGCUUCCAUUGCGUAGUAGCUAACACCUCGCAACUGGAGAGCGGCGCGGCCACGCCGUAAAACACCCAACUUCUGAAUGUUGACCUCGAAUCAGGUAGGAAUACCCGCUGAACUUAAGCAUAUCAAUAAGCGGAGGA